RNAcentral lists this ribosomal RNA (301 nucleotides) under uncultured bacterium. RNAcentral describes it as "partial 16S ribosomal RNA". It matches the Rfam family "Bacterial small subunit ribosomal RNA", at positions 509 to 807 of the family's 1533-position model. The record is from RNAcentral.
CAGCAGCCACGGGAAUACGAAGGGUGCAAGCGUUACCCGGAAUUACUGGGCGUAAAGCGUGCGUAGGUGGUGGUUUAAGUCCGUUGUGAAAGCCCUGGGCUCAACCUGGGAAUUGCAGUGGAUACUGGAUCACUAGAGUGUGGUAGAGGAUAGUGGAAUUUCCGGUGUAGCAGUGAAAUGCGUAGAGAUCGGAAGGAACAUCUGUGGCGAAGGCGACUUACUGGCUCGAUACUGACGCUGAGGCGCGAAAGCGUGGGGAGCAAACAGGAUUAGAGACCCCCGUAGUCCCUGUCUCUUAUAC